CGGCAGCAACUGAUGUUGUUCAUUGCACCCCCACAAGAAACCUCCCACCGACCACAAACCUGCCUCCCAACCCAAAACCUACUGAAACAAAAAAUAAAGAAGAGGAUAUCCCAUACCUUCGAAUCAAUCAUGCUAAGAAGUAAGAACAUCACUAUUAAAUAGUUUGUUUUCAGAGCCGGUUCCAUUUCCCAUCACAGCAACUCCUUUAGUUCCCCAGGCCAGACUCUAUCAGAUCAACCCAUUGGGAUGAAAAACCCUGUUUCACUCCCUUUUCCUACCUCCUCGAGCCGAAAGCGGCUGUGACCCGACUAUGAGGAAGAAAACUCAAGAGAGGACCUUAUCUCCAACAUAACAAGGGCACUGGAAUCAUCAAGCUAUCCAGACAGUCUUGUGAAACGUAUAGCUGAUGCAAUUGGAGUGGGAGAGAGGGUUGGAGUGGAGUCAACCCCAUACCAUGUUGAGCUUCCUGACGACACUACUUUCGCAGGUGAACAUGGGGUUGAAGGGCAACCACAGGCUACCGUCGACCGGGUGCAUAUGCUUGUCACCUUGCUCACACUGGUGGCGCUUCUUUUGAAAAACCCAAAUACAUUCAAAAUGUAAGAUUUUCUUCUGGCGAGUAAUCCACAGAGGACUGCCAACAAUGGAUGUUUUAGGGAAAUGGAUCACAAUGGAGCAGACUUGUGGCAUAUGCAACUCUAAACCUAAAACUGUUUGGCACAUCUUCCUAUCAUGCGACUUUACUAAACGCAUAUGGGAGGCAUGCCCAUUGGGCCUUAAUACUGCAGCUCUCAGAGCAUCAUCCUUUCAGCAUAUAAUUAUGUAUUUCUUUUACACAAUUGCUAAACAAGAUUGAACUCUUUCUUUU
This is a long non-coding RNA of Macadamia integrifolia, 868 nucleotides long. RefSeq lists it as uncharacterized. The record is from RefSeq and is a predicted model, not a curated record. NCBI's taxonomy places the organism in Eukaryota, Viridiplantae, Streptophyta, Magnoliopsida, Proteales, Proteaceae. The transcript is spliced from 2 exons.